AAGUCGUAACAAGGUUUCCGUAGGUGAACCUGCGGAAGGAUCAUUAACACGUAUCCAAACGUUAAAACCCCCCUGUGAACCUUCACCACUUCUUAAGCCCUCCCGGGGGUAGAGCAGGCAAUCCCUAGUAAAUCAUUGUCUUAACAGGUUUUGAGUUAGGGACGUCCCCCACUACGGGACUUGCACAAUUCACCAAACACUUUAAGAUUGAUGGUUGCUUGGGGGCACCAGGGCAAUACUCUCUUCUGCACAAGGGCGUCGCAGUCAACGCUCGCUGGAGGCCCACACGGCCGGCGACCGGGGCCAUUACCACGACCUACUACGUGGCCUACGUCACCCCCCCGAGCAUGGCAAGCGGACGCGCCGAAAGGUUGUAUCCGGAUAUCUUGGUUCUC
Molecule: unclassified non-coding RNA, 395 nt
Filed under: fungal sp.
Lineage: Eukaryota; Fungi
Description: partial internal transcribed spacer region
Rfam family: Eukaryotic small subunit ribosomal RNA (bases 1-46)
Source: RNAcentral